Molecule: ribosomal RNA, 460 nt
Filed under: uncultured bacterium
Lineage: Bacteria
Description: partial 16S ribosomal RNA
Rfam family: Bacterial small subunit ribosomal RNA
Source: RNAcentral
CCUACGGGUGGCAGCAGUGAGGAAUAUUGGUCAAUGGACGCAAGUCUGAACCAGCCAUGCCGCGUGCAGGAAGACGGCUCUAUGAGUUGUAAACUGCUUUUGUACGAGGGUAAACGCAGAUACGCGUAUCUGUCUGAAAGUAUCGUACGAAUAAGGAUCGGCUAACUCCGUGCCAGCAGCCGCGGUAAUACGGAGGAUUCAAGCGUUAUCCGGAUUUAUUGGGUUUAAAGGGUGCGUAGGCGGUCGGAUAAGUCAGAGGUGAAAUCCCGAGGCUCAACUUCGGAAUUGCAUCUGAUACUGUUAGGCUAGAGAGUAGUAGAGGUAGGCGGAAUGUGUGGUGUAGCGGUGAAAUGCUUAGAGAUCAUGCAGAACGCCGAUUGCGAAGGCAGCUUACCGGGCUACUUCUGACGUUGAGGCACGAAAGCGUGGGGAGCAAACAGGAUUAGAUACCCUGGUAGUC